RNAcentral lists this ribosomal RNA (253 nucleotides) under uncultured bacterium. Its description in RNAcentral is "partial 16S ribosomal RNA". It matches the Rfam family "Bacterial small subunit ribosomal RNA", at positions 524 to 776 of the family's 1533-position model. The record is from RNAcentral.
UACGGAGGAUGCAAGCGUUAUCCGGAUUUAUUGGGUUUAAAGGGUGCGUAGGCGGACUAAUAAGUCAGUGGUGAAAUCUUGCGGCUCAACCGUAAUAUUGCCAUUGAUACUGUUAGUCUUGAAUGCAGUUGAGGUAGGCGGAAUGUGUAAUGUAGCGGUGAAAUGCUUAGAUAUUACACAGAACACCGAUUGCGAAGGCAGCUUGCUAAACUGUGAUUGACGCUGAUGCACGAAAGCGUGGGGAUCAAACAGG